UAAAGAUUCAUCGCUGAUAGAUAGGCAUGCGUUCCAUUAGGCAGUUGGCGGGGUAACGGCCCACCAAACCGACGAUGGAUAGGGGUUCUGAGAGGAAGGUCCCCCACAUUGGUACUGAGACACGGACCAAACUCCUACGGGAGGCAGCAGUGAGGAAUAUUGGUCAAUGGGCGUAAGCCUGAACCAGCCAAGUCGCGUGAGGGAUGAAGGUUCUAUGGAUCGUAAACCUCUUUUAUAAGGGAAUGAAGUGUGGGACGUGUCCUAUUUUGUAUGUACCUUAUGAAUAAGGAUCGGCUAACUCCGUGCCAGCAGCCGCGGUAAUACGGAGGAUCCGAGCGUUAUCCGGAUUUAUUGGGUCUAAAGGGUGCGUAGGCGGCCUUUUAAGUCAGCGGUGAAAGUCUGUGGCUCAACCAUAGAAUUGCCGUUGAAACUGGGGGGCUUGAGUAUGUUUGAGGCAGGCGGAAUGCGUGGUGUAGCGGUGAAAUGCUUAGAUAUCACGCAGAACCCCGAUUGCGAAGGCAGCCUGCCAAGCCAUGACUGACGCUGAUGCACGAAAGCGUGGGGAUCAAACAGGAUUAGAUACCCUGGUAGUCCACGCAGUA
Molecule: ribosomal RNA, 602 nt
Filed under: uncultured bacterium
Lineage: Bacteria
Description: bacterial SSU rRNA
Rfam family: Bacterial small subunit ribosomal RNA
Source: RNAcentral